UUUAAAAUAAAAACCUAUGUAAACCCAAAUCUGUGAAAUAAAUUUAAAAAAGAGAAGUAACUUAUCCUAUAAUUAUUGUAAGAAAUUUUGAUAUCAAUUCGGACUUUACUAGAAUGCUCUUUAGUUCUCAUAACUCUCUAAGGUUUAAUUUUAUAAAAUAUCUUAUAUUAGAAGUAAAAGGCAAACUAAUUGAGGCUUCUGGUUAUAUUGCAAAAAUUUCUUUCAUAUUAGAAGUAAAAGGCAAACUAAUUGAGGCUUCUGGUUAUAUUGCAAAAAUUUCUUUCAAGUCUUAGAAGAAACAUUAUUAUUUAUUCCACACUUUUUUCAGUUAUCCAUAAAGAUAUUCUGCUUAAUCUUAACUAGUUACCCUAAAACGUUUCACUUACCACAAUACAUAAUCACAAUAAAUCUUGGCUCAGUACACUAUAACUUGCACAGU
Long non-coding RNA from Nilaparvata lugens (brown planthopper), 439 nucleotides. RefSeq lists it as uncharacterized. Lineage: Eukaryota; Metazoa; Arthropoda; Insecta; Hemiptera; Delphacidae. The transcript has 2 exons. The record is from RefSeq and is a predicted model, not a curated record.